This 335-nucleotide ribosomal RNA is filed under the name uncultured bacterium. RNAcentral's name for it is "bacterial SSU rRNA". It matches the Rfam family "Bacterial small subunit ribosomal RNA", at positions 9 to 327 of the family's 1533-position model. The record is from RNAcentral.
GAGUUUGAUCCUGGCUCAGGAUGAACGCUGGCGGCGUGCUUAACACAUGCAAGUCGAGCGAAGCACUUGAACCUGAUUCUUCGGAUGAAAGUUCAUUUGACUGAGCGGCGGACGGGUGAGUAACGCGUGAGUAACCUGCCUCAUACAGGGGGAUAACAGUUAGAAAUGACUGCUAAUACCGCAUAAGACCACAGUACCGCAUGGUACAGGGGUAAAACUCCGGUGGUAUGAGAUGGACCCCGCGUCUGAUUAGCUGGUUGGUGGGUAACGGCCUACCAAGGCGAUGAUCAGUAGCCGACCUGAGAGGGUGACCGGCCACAUUGGGACUGAGACAC